Long non-coding RNA from Hypanus sabinus (Atlantic stingray), 513 nucleotides. RefSeq lists it as uncharacterized. The record is from RefSeq and is a predicted model, not a curated record. NCBI's taxonomy places the organism in Eukaryota, Metazoa, Chordata, Chondrichthyes, Myliobatiformes, Dasyatidae. The transcript has 4 exons.
UCAAUCAACUGGUGGACAAGAUAAUAUUUCUGGCUGAGAAUUCUCGAACCACAGGUCAACGUCUCAGAACAAGGGAUACACCAUUCAUGAAUGACGUGAUGAGAAAUUUCUUGAGUCAGGGAAUGGCCAGUCUUUGGAAUUAUCUACAUCAGGCAGACGUGGAAGCUCGGCCACUGGGUGCAUUCAGCUUACUUUCUAGGCAGAAAAACCAAGAAAAAACCUUUCUGUGUUGUUGUUCAUCAUUUUCACUCAGGUGAUGGAGACUCAAGGCCGUAAUGGUUGACUAUUACUUAUGGUUGACUUAUGGUUGAAAAAGGUAUUAAAUCAUCCCAAUAGAACAAAAUCAAGACAUCCCAAGAUGUGUCUAUCUUGGUAAAGGUAGCCAAUUUUGACCAGAGCAAAGCCCAGGAUUUUCUGGACAAAUAUUGCAAGCACAAAAGUUUGUGAAAUCAACUGAAAUUGUAUUCUCAGCGCUGAUAUUGAUGUUGCGGUUUCAAAUCUUGAGCUCAAAAG